RNAcentral lists this unclassified non-coding RNA (263 nucleotides) under plant metagenome. Its description in RNAcentral is "partial contains small subunit ribosomal RNA, internal transcribed spacer 1, and 5.8S ribosomal RNA". The record is from RNAcentral.
UUUCCGUAGGUGAACCUGCGGAAGGAUCAUUAUUGUAUAACCGAGGUGCGAGAGCUGUCGCUGACCCGAAAGGUCGUGCACGCCCGAGUGCCCUCACACACAUCCAUCUCACCCCUAUGUGCACCACCGCGCGGGUCCCCCUUUGGCUUGUUCGGAGGGGGGCUUACGUUUUCACACAAACUUUGUAUGCAGUGUAGAAUGUAUUUUUUGUUUUUGCGAUCACGCAAUCAAUACAACUUUCAACAACGGAUCUCUUGGCUCUC